CCUACGGGAGGCAGCAGUGGGGAAUAUUGCGCAAUGGGCGAAAGCCUGACGCAGCGACGCCGCGUGAGGGAUGAAGGUCUUCGGAUCGUAAACCUCUGUCAGCAGGGAAGAACGGUCACUGUGCUAAUCAGCAGUGAAUUGACGGUACCUGCAAAGGAAGCACCGGCUAACUCCGUGCCAGCAGCCGCGGUAAUACGGAGGGUGCGAGCGUUAAUCGGAAUUACUGGGCGUAAAGCGCUCGUAGGCGGUAUGUCAAGUCAAGGGUGAAAUCCCCGCGCUCAACGUGGGAACUACCUUUGAAACUGGCAAACUGGAGUGUGUGAGAGGAUAGUGGAAUUCCAGGUGUAGGAGUGAAAGCCGUAGAUAUCUGGAGGAACAUCAGUGGCGAAGGCGACUAUCUGGCACAUAACUGACGCUGAGGAGCGAAAGCGUGGGUAGCAAACAGGAUUAGAUACCCUAGUAGUC
Molecule: ribosomal RNA, 465 nt
Filed under: uncultured bacterium
Lineage: Bacteria
Description: partial 16S ribosomal RNA
Rfam family: Bacterial small subunit ribosomal RNA
Source: RNAcentral